This 817-nucleotide long non-coding RNA is filed under the name Homo sapiens (human). Its description in RNAcentral is "non-protein coding lnc-OPRK1-3:3". Lineage: Eukaryota; Metazoa; Chordata; Mammalia; Primates; Hominidae. The record is from RNAcentral.
AGCAUCAGACCUAAAGGGAGUGUCCUGCCUGAAGGACCGGCUCAAGGUCGCACUAACAGCUCUUGCUAACUCCUGUUCCAGGCUGUUUAUCUGGGCCUCCAAGUACCCUGCUUGCGCCUGGAGGUCUCUCACCCCCAGGUCCUGCUCAAAGCUGUGCACUUGGGCCCCCAGGCAUGCGGCUUGCUCCGGAAGGUCCCUUACCUGUGGCACUGAGCAUGUACUUCCUGCAGUGCAGUUAGAAAUGCCCAUCCGACUCUGCUUGCAAAGGCACAGCUGCUUAAAGACUGUUACCGGAAAGGAAUCCUGAUCCAGACGCCAAGAGAGGGUUCUUGGACUCAUGCAAGAAAGACUUCAGCUGGCUGCAGAUGACAGUGACACCCUGGGAGUUGAGAAAUGCUUGUAAGAUGGAAGGAGGCUGUGUCCCUGAAUGAUCACCUGGAAGAGAGCCACCUUAGCCAAUGAAACUCCUGCUAUGAAUGUUUGCUGAGCAAGAAAUAUACUUACUGCUUUAUAUGCCUUUGAAGCUAUAGGUUCAUAUUGUUACCACAAUUUAAAGUGCUAUAAUAAAAAGAGUUCAGGAAGCAGGCACAUGGAAGCAAUAAGAGCAACAAACAUUUACACAGUUCUCAGGUCCCUGGACCAUGAAGGGCCACAUCCAAGGAGCUACCCCAGGAGGCCUCUCAUUUGCAUUUGUCCCCGCUAAUGCAGGACAGAGAUCAUGGAAGUUGGGCCCGACUGGAUGAGAUUUGGGGGUCUUUGGAAGUGGAGAAUGUGUUUGCCCUGGGGAAGAGGUGAGUAUGUUCACAGGACAGUUGUG